UGGGGUAUCGCCAAGUUGGUAAGGCAAUAGAUUUUGAUUCUAUCAUUCGAAGGUUCAAGUCCUUCUACCCCAUCCA
Molecule: transfer RNA, 76 nt
Filed under: Bdellovibrio sp.
Lineage: Bacteria; Pseudomonadati; Bdellovibrionota; Bdellovibrionia; Bdellovibrionales; Pseudobdellovibrionaceae
Also listed under: 1 other name
Description: tRNA-Gln
Rfam family: tRNA
About the family: Transfer RNA (tRNA) molecules are approximately 80 nucleotides in length. Their secondary structure includes four short double-helical elements and three loops (D, anti-codon, and T loops).
Source: RNAcentral